Oncorhynchus kisutch (coho salmon) is the source of this 119-nucleotide ribosomal RNA. The record is from Ensembl. NCBI's taxonomy places the organism in Eukaryota, Metazoa, Chordata, Actinopteri, Salmoniformes, Salmonidae.
GCUUACGACCACAACGGCCUGAGUACGCCUGAUCUCAUCUGAUCUCGGACGCUAAGCAGGGUCGGGCCUGGUUAGUACUUGGAUGGGAGACCGCCUGGGAAUAUCAGGUGCUGUUAGCU